RNAcentral lists this long non-coding RNA (253 nucleotides) under Gossypium barbadense (sea-island cotton). Its description in RNAcentral is "long non-coding RNA (GBAR_LNC018083)". The record is from RNAcentral. Lineage: Eukaryota; Viridiplantae; Streptophyta; Magnoliopsida; Malvales; Malvaceae.
CCCGUUUUUCUUUGUUUUGGUCUAGCAGCCGUCAAAGAAAAUUCACUCUCAAAACUGUUUUGGGGAUUUCUUCCGUUCGUAGUCAACUGGGUGGAUCACGUAGAGGUCGGAGUCUCGAUAGAUUGCGGCUUAGUUCGACUGUAGAUCAGACUACACGUUGUUGAGAAGUUGCUGUCUACUCAGAACAGCAUUAGGUAAUUUCGUAACCCUUUUCACCCCGAUUCGUUCCUCACACAUGGAUCUGUGGUUAGGG